GACGAACGCUGGCGGCGUGCUUAACACAUGCAAGUCGAACGGAAAGGCCCUGCUUGCAGGGUACUCGAGUGGCGAACGGGUGAGUAACACGUGGGUGAUCUGCCCUGCACUUCGGGAUAAGCCUGGUAAACUGGGUCUAAUACCGGAUAGGAGCCAUUUUUAGUGUGAUGGUUGGAAAGUUUUUUCGGUGUAGGAUGAGCUCGCGGCCUAUCAGCUUGUUGGUGGGGUAAUGGCCUACCAAGGCGGCGACGGGUAGCCGGCCUGAGAGGGUGGACGGCCACAUUGGGACUGAGAUACGGCCCAGACUCCUACGGGAGGCAGCAGUGGGGAAUAUUGCACAGUGGGCGCAAGCCUGAUGCAGCGACGCCGCGUGGGGGAUGACGGCCUUCGGGUUGUAAACUCCUUUCGCUAGGGACGAAGCUUUUUGUGACGGUACCUAGAUAAGAAGCACCGGCUAACUACGUG
RNAcentral lists this ribosomal RNA (465 nucleotides) under uncultured bacterium. RNAcentral's name for it is "partial 16S ribosomal RNA". It matches the Rfam family "Bacterial small subunit ribosomal RNA", at positions 28 to 507 of the family's 1533-position model. The record is from RNAcentral.